Molecule: ribosomal RNA, 524 nt
Filed under: uncultured bacterium
Lineage: Bacteria
Description: bacterial SSU rRNA
Rfam family: Bacterial small subunit ribosomal RNA
Source: RNAcentral
AGUAAAUAGAUACCCCGGUAGUCCACGCCGUAAACGAUGUCGACUUGGAGGUUGUGCCCUUGAGGCGUGGCUUCCGGAGCUAAACGCGUUAAAGUCGACCGCCUGGGGAGUACGGCCGCAAGGUUAAAACUCAAAUGAAUUGACGGGGCCCGCACAAGCGGUGGAGCAUGUGGUUUAAUUCGAUGCAACGCGAAGAACCUUACCUACUCUUGACAUCCAGAGAACUUAGCAGAGAUGCUUUGGUGCCUUCGGGAACUCUGAGACAGGUGCUGCAUGGCUGUCGUCAGCUCGUGUUGUGAAAUGUUGGGUUAAGUCCCGCAACGAGCGCAACCCUUAUCCUUUGUUGCCAGCGGUUAGGCCGGGAACUCAAAGGAGACUGCCAGUGAUAAACUGGAGGAAGGUGGGGAUGACGUCAAGUCAUCAUGGCCCUUACGAGUAGGGCUACACACGUGCUACAAUGGCGCAUACAAAGAGAAGCGACCUCGCGAGAGCAAGCGGACCUCAUAAAGUGCGUCGUAGUCCGG